Molecule: ribosomal RNA, 422 nt
Filed under: uncultured bacterium
Lineage: Bacteria
Description: bacterial SSU rRNA
Rfam family: Bacterial small subunit ribosomal RNA
Source: RNAcentral
UGAGGAAUAUUGGUCAAUGGGCGCAAGCCUGAACCAGCCAUGCCGCGUGCAGGAAGACGGUCCUAUGGAUUGUAAACUGCUUUUAUUUGGGAAUAAACCUCUUUACGUGUAGAGAGCUGAAGGUACCAAAUGAAUAAGCACCGGCUAACUCCGUGCCAGCAGCCGCGGUAAUACGGAGGGUGCAAGCGUUAUCCGGAUUUAUUGGGUUUAAAGGGUCCGUAGGCGGACUGAUAAGUCAGUGGUGAAAUCCGACAGCUUAACUGUCGAACUGCCAUUGAUACUGUUAGUCUUGAGUAAGGUUGAAGUGGCUGGAAUAAGUAGUGUAGCGGUGAAAUGCAUAGAUAUGUCAUAGAACACCGAUAGCGAAGGCAGCUCACUAGGUCUGGAUUGACGCUCAGGGACGAAAGCGUGGGGAGCAAACA